GCUAGUAUAGCUUAACUAAAGCAUAACUCUGAAGAUGUUAAGAUGGGCCUUGAUUAGUCCUACGAGCA
RNAcentral lists this transfer RNA (68 nucleotides) under Cynoglossus semilaevis (tongue sole). Its description in RNAcentral is "tRNA (ENSCSEG00000000002.1)". It matches the Rfam family "tRNA". Rfam says of the family: Transfer RNA (tRNA) molecules are approximately 80 nucleotides in length. Their secondary structure includes four short double-helical elements and three loops (D, anti-codon, and T loops). Further hydrogen bonds mediate the characteristic L-shaped molecular structure. tRNAs have two regions of fundamental functional importance: the anti-codon, which is responsible for specific mRNA codon recognition, and the 3' end, to which the tRNAs corresponding amino acid is attached (by aminoacyl-tRNA synthetases). tRNAs cope with the degeneracy of the genetic code in two manners: having more than one tRNA (with a specific anti-codon) for a particular amino acid; and 'wobble' base-pairing, i.e. permitting non-standard base-pairing at the 3rd anti-codon position. The record is from RNAcentral. Lineage: Eukaryota; Metazoa; Chordata; Actinopteri; Pleuronectiformes; Cynoglossidae.